RNAcentral lists this small nucleolar RNA (106 nucleotides) under Gossypium arboreum. Its description in RNAcentral is "Plant small nucleolar RNA R71". It matches the Rfam family "Plant small nucleolar RNA R71". Rfam says of the family: R71 is a member of the C/D box family of snoRNAs containing the C (UGAUGA) and D (CUGA) box motifs. Multiple nearly identical copies of this snoRNA have been identified in Arabidopsis, and it is thought to function as a 2'-O-ribose methylation guide for 18S ribosomal RNA. The record is from Rfam by way of RNAcentral. Lineage: Eukaryota; Viridiplantae; Streptophyta; Magnoliopsida; Malvales; Malvaceae.
AACCCAUGGUGAGGGCACCCUCUCAGUAAGUCCUUGUAUGUCUCCCAUACAUUGUAGAGGGUUUCUAAAUCCAUCUACACAAAAGAAGAGAUACAUUACUUAAUUU